UACGUAGGGAGCGAGCGUUGUCCGGAUUCAUUGGGCGUAAAGAGCUCGUAGGCGGCUUGGUAAGUCGGAUGUGAAACCUCCAGGCUCAACCUGGAGUCGCCAUCCGAUACUGCCAUGGCUAGAGUCCGGUAGGGGCCCACGGAAUUCCUGGUGUAGCGGUGAAAUGCGCAGAUAUCAGGAGGAACACCGAUGGCGAAGGCGGGUCUCUGGGCCGUUACUGACGCUGAGGAGCGAAAGCGUGGGGAGCGAACAGG
RNAcentral lists this ribosomal RNA (254 nucleotides) under uncultured bacterium. Its description in RNAcentral is "partial 16S ribosomal RNA". It matches the Rfam family "Bacterial small subunit ribosomal RNA", at positions 524 to 776 of the family's 1533-position model. The record is from RNAcentral.